AAGGUGUUCUUGGACGGCCUGAUUCAACUCUGGACCCUGUAGAGGUUCUCUUCUGCUCCUAAGGCCAGAUUGUUCCGGGCUUCUGCUUCACAUGAGUUGCCUAGCCCCUCUAAUUGUUCUGGUGGCACAGAAAAUGCUAGAAGAUGCAGGUGCUGUACAAGGAAAGAGUUAAACCAGCUCAGCUGUCCACCUGCUGAAGAAGUCCAAGAACUUGAAAG
RNAcentral lists this long non-coding RNA (218 nucleotides) under Apteryx owenii (little spotted kiwi). RNAcentral's name for it is "lncRNA (ENSAOWG00000017537.1)". Lineage: Eukaryota; Metazoa; Chordata; Aves; Apterygiformes; Apterygidae. The record is from RNAcentral.